This 375-nucleotide ribosomal RNA is filed under the name uncultured bacterium. Its description in RNAcentral is "bacterial SSU rRNA". It matches the Rfam family "Bacterial small subunit ribosomal RNA", at positions 521 to 896 of the family's 1533-position model. The record is from RNAcentral.
UAAGACGUAGGAGGCGAGCGUUAUCCGGAUUCAUUGGGCGUAAAGGGCAAGUAGGCGGUAGCUCAAGUUGGGCGUGACAGUUCUCGGCUUAACUGAGAGAGGACGUUCAAAACUAGGUUACUAGAGGGCAGAAGAGGGAGGCGGAAUUCCUAAUGUAGCGGUGGAAUGCUCAGAUAUUAGGAAGAACACCAGUGGCGAAGGCGGCCUCCUGGUCUGGCCCUGACGCUGAGAGGCGAAAGCUAGGGGAGCGAACGGGCUUAGAUACCCCGGUAGUCCUAGCUGUAAACGGUGGAUACUAAGUAUUAGGGGGUAAGACCCUUAGUGCUGAAGCAAACGCGAUAAGUAUCCCGCCUGGGGACUACGGCCGCAAGGUUA